GAGUUUGAUCAUGGCUCAGGACGAACGCUGGCGGCGUGCCUAACACAUGCAAGUCGAGCGGGGAGAAGAAUUCGUUUUUCUCUUUAGCGGCGGACGGGUGAGUAACACGUGGGUAACCUGCCUCAAAGUGGGGGAUAGCCUUCCGAAAGGAAGAUUAAUACCGCAUAAUAUCAGAGCACUGCAUGGUGCUGUGAUUAAAGGAGCAAUCCGCUUUGAGAUGGACCCGCGGCGCAUUAGCUAGUUGGUGAGGUAACGGCCCACCAAGGCGACGAUGCGUAGCCGACCUGAGAGGGUGAUCGGCCACAUUGGAACUGGGACACGGUCCAGACUCCUACGGGAGGCAGCAGUGGGGAAUACUGCACAAUGGGGGAAACCCUGAUGCAGCAACGCCGCGUGAGUGAUGAAGGCCUUCGGGUCGUAAAGCUCUUUGAUCAGGGACGAUAAUGACGGUACCUGAAAAACAAGCCACGGCUAACUACGUGCCAGCAGCCGCGGUAAUACGUAGGUGGCGAGCGUUGUCCGGAUUUACUGGGCGUAAAGAAUGCGUAGGUGGAUAUUUAAGUGGGAUGUGAAGUCCCCGGGCUCAACCCGGGAACUGCAUACCAAACUGGAUAUCUGGAGUGCAGGAGAGGAAAGCGGAAUUCCUAGUGUAGCGGUGAAAUGCGUAGAUAUUAGGAGGAACACCAGUGGCGAAGGCGGCUUUCUGGACUGUAACUGACACUGAGGCAUGAAAGCGUGGGGAGCAAACAGGAUUAGAUACCCUGGUAGUCCACGCCGUAAACUAUGGGUACUAGGUGUAGGGGGUAUCGACUCCCCCUGUGCCGUCGUUAACACAAUAAGUACCCCGCCUGGGGAGUACGGUCGCAAGACUAAAACUCAAAGGAAUUACGGG
Molecule: ribosomal RNA, 892 nt
Filed under: uncultured bacterium
Lineage: Bacteria
Description: bacterial SSU rRNA
Rfam family: Bacterial small subunit ribosomal RNA
Source: RNAcentral